Small nuclear RNA from Jaculus jaculus (lesser Egyptian jerboa), 165 nucleotides. RefSeq annotates it as U1 spliceosomal RNA. The transcript has a single exon. Lineage: Eukaryota; Metazoa; Chordata; Mammalia; Rodentia; Dipodidae. The record is from RefSeq and is a predicted model, not a curated record.
UUAAAGGCGUGUGCCAAUGCCAUGAUCACGAAGGUGGUUUUCCCAGGGCGAGGCUUAUCCAUUGCACUCCGGAUGUGCUGAGCUGACCCCUGCGAUUUCCCAAAAUGCAGGAAAUUCAACUACAUAGUUUGUGGUAGUGGGGGACUGUGUUUGCGCUCUUCACAC